AGGGGAAAAUGCCUUUCUCCCAGUUUCCUGAUCUUUGUGUCUGGGAAUGGGGCUGUUUCCCCUCC
Molecule: microRNA precursor, 65 nt
Filed under: Mus musculus (house mouse)
Lineage: Eukaryota; Metazoa; Chordata; Mammalia; Rodentia; Muridae
Description: Mmu-Mir-3092_pre stem-loop
Source: RNAcentral